CGGGCCGGCCAGACGGUCGCGUCGCGUGUCCUCCGCCCUCGUGACGGAGGGCGCGCGCCGAGGAACGUCCGGGCUCCGCAGAGCAGGGUGGUGGGUAACACCCACCCGGAGUGAUCCGCGAGAAAGUGCAACAGAGAGCAGACCGCCGCACCGCGCACGUCGCGGGGCGGUAAGGGUGAAACGGUGGUGUAAGAGACCACCAGGGGCCCGAGUGAUCGGGCUCGCUGGGUAAACCUCGCCCGGAGCAAGGUCAGACAGGUGCCGAUGAGGUUGCUCGCCGAGGCACCGGGUAGACCGCUGGAGGGCUGCGGCGACGCAGUCCCGAGAGAGAUGGCCGUCCGGUCGGAUCGUGCCGCGAGGCACGGACGACCGACAGAACCCGGCGUAUCGGCCGACCCGUUCG
Molecule: RNase P RNA, 403 nt
Filed under: Protaetiibacter mangrovi
Lineage: Bacteria; Bacillati; Actinomycetota; Actinomycetes; Micrococcales; Microbacteriaceae
Description: RNase P RNA component class A
Rfam family: Bacterial RNase P class A
About the family: Ribonuclease P (RNase P) is a ubiquitous endoribonuclease, found in archaea, bacteria and eukarya as well as chloroplasts and mitochondria. Its best characterised activity is the generation of mature 5'-ends of tRNAs by cleaving the 5'-leader elements of precursor-tRNAs.
Source: RNAcentral